CAUUUCUCUUCUGACUUUUCUUCCAUCAUCUUCUCCUCUUUUUUUCCUCAUCGAUCUUCCCCGACUCAUCUUUCUUCUCCUAACAACAAAUUAGUUAUUCAACUAGAAUUUUAUUUGAUUUCAAUUCUUCCCCAAAUCAAGUUUCGAUGGAUUUCAUUUUCUCCCCCAAACUUAUUCUGGGACAACACCAAAUCAAUUGAUGAUUUUCAUAUCCACCCAAAUCCAGUUUCAAUUUCACUUCACUAAUUCGUCACCAUUAUAUUCCGGGCGAAUUCAGAACAACAGAUAUGGUUACAUACCAAAUUCGGUAUGCGGCGAGAUGACUGAAGAAGAGCGAGCUACUGAAAGAGAAGGUGUCGUUUUUGUAAUAUCAAUUGUCGAGAAAGCAUGACAGAUGAAAAGAGAUUUCUACAAAUUUAUCGAGGAAGCAAAAUGUUGAAUGCGAAGCAACAGAUGUGGAUACAUAUGGUUACAUACCAAAUUCGGUAUGCGGCGAGAUGACUGAAGAAGAGCGAGCUACUGAAAGAGAAGGUGUCGUUUUUGUAAUAUCAAUUGUCGAGAAAGCAUGACAGAUGAAAAGAGAUUUCUACAACUUUAUCGAGGAAGCAAAAUGUUGAAUGCGAAGCAACAGAUGUGGAUACAUUCCUAAGUAUGUUUCACCGCCUGAAGCAACAUGAUGACCAAAGAACAACGAUCUACUAAAAGAGAAAGGUGAAUCAUCCAAAAGAAGUGAAUUUGCACUUAAUUGUCCAAUAAAAGAAAUUGGCUACAAACGGAGAAUGACCAAAGACCAAGUGGAACUCGUUCAAACCUAGGAGUUCUUGCCAUCACUUUAAAGAGGACGAAAAUAAGAAGCCAAUGACGAAAGAAUGGGGUCUAUCAGAUAUCAUACGAAGAAGUUAUGCGCGAAACAAGAAUGAUGCAGAAAAUUACACUGUCAGUCUUCUAAGACUGACGGUUAAAGCAAUUACUAAAGGCACCAGGGAAUUCGAUAAGGGGCUGCCACUUUCUUCCAACAUAGUCGUCUUCCUCUUCUCACCGGUUCACGACAACUUUCUCCGGUUGAGUUGUGGGAUGUUAAACUUGCAGGUAUAUGGGUUGGCAGCGAUGGAUAAAGUAGUCUGUGGUGUUGAUGGAUGCUGCCAAUAUGGUCACGAUGGUGUUGCUAUACAUCAUUGUCAUGGGUUUUGAAGCUGGCAGUGUUGGUGAUUGAUCAGUAGGAGUUCAGGGAUGGAGGACUAGCGGAGUUGGUGGUCUGUGGUUGUUUGGGUUGAUACGAACUCGAGUUCGGAUGGGAAGCUUUGGGUGUACGUAAUUUCGGCUUGGAUUCUGUGAGAUAAUGGGACCGAGGAAAUGAUGAGAGUAGCUGGCUGUGGUUCGUGGAGCAGAGCAGGGAAGAAGAUCAUGGUGGAGUGAGUAACAGCAGGAGAUACUCAAUUCUGUGUUGGCAGUUAAAUGGUUGAUCGAAGGAGCUCGAGAUGGCAGAGAAUAUUGAAGAGAAUGGGAUGCUUCUAGUUAAACUCGAGUUGAACUGGGAACUGUGGUUGCUGGAGUUGUAAGAAAUCCGGAGUUGGAGCUUGGGAGUAACGAGACUGAACGAUGAUCAACUGAGUUCGAGAAUGGAGAGAACAGGGAAGUGUUGGAUCGGUGAUGGUGGAGCUGUAGGGAGAGAUGCUGCUGCCAUUAUCGGCAAUGAGGAAGAUGAAUUGGUUAAGAUGGUGGAAUUCGCUGUGUAUUGAUGGACCACUGAUGGUUCGAUGAACGAGCAGAGAUGGAGGAGAUGCCCGAGUUUUGACAUGAAAGUAUUUACUUUGUUAUAUGAGUUCAUAUGGAAGCUGGGAAGUAAUGAUGGGGGACGAAAUUGUUGCAGCUGCCAGUAACAGGGACCGAGCAGUUCAGGGAAUGGUCGUGCUGUACUAACCAAUGAUGCAGAUAACUAAUGGUGAUGGCAGUGCUGAGUAUGGCAGGAAACCAGUUUGCUGUAAAGAUGGAGAAGGUCUGGCAGUGUUGAUUAUCGGUGAAGGGACAAAGAUGAACGGAGGGCAAUGGUUGAUGGCAGUGAUGGAGAUGGAUCGAGUUUCUCGUCUUGCUUCCAUCACUGAUGAGGAAUGACGAGAUAAAAUAGGAGCUAGGAAAUCACGAGGUCAAGGAAGCCAAAUCCAGAAGAAAUAAAAUGUCACAGAGAGGGGAGUAUCCGUGAGAGGAAUGCCGGAAACACAAAAUUCAGGGAGUUUAAAAACUCACGGCGACCAAUCUGUCCGUGAGUGACGGAGAAAAGAAUUGAAAAUCGAGAUGAUUUUAUUUCUCACGGAGGGAUAUAUAUCCGAGGAAAUUACCGGAAAACUAAAAAUCCCGCAACUAUUAUUUUUCACGGAGCAUUGUGUAUCCAAGGGAACAUGGGAAGCAAUUGAAAUAUGACUGUCAGUUUGGGUCGGCUGACAGUUGAAUGAUGUUAAUGGGCUGGAUUGUUACAGCAGGUGUGCAUGGCCCAAUUGUUUGAUUUAAUCUCUCACGACCAAGACAUGGCAGUGACCGGAUUAUGGAAUGUGGACUAGUUUUGGCAACCUACUUCUACUGAGAUUUGGAGCAAAGGCACUCUACAAUUUGAAGGCUAUAUAAGAAAUACUUCUUAACCUAAUUGAAAGAACCUAAUCAUAUCUACAUCUCAUAUUAUACUUUGUUGUUCAUUCAUAUUCUAGGGUUUACACCUUUAAGGGAAAAUCGGGUAACAGUGUAAUCAUGAGCAACUAAAUUCUUGUUGGGUAGGAUGAAUUCAAAGUUCCGGGUGUGAAGCUUAAUUAUUAUACAAAAAUUAUUUGAAGUAUUUAUCAUAUUAUCAUUUGUCUUUUCUA
This is a long non-coding RNA of Papaver somniferum (opium poppy), 2852 nucleotides long. RefSeq lists it as uncharacterized. The transcript is spliced from 3 exons. Lineage: Eukaryota; Viridiplantae; Streptophyta; Magnoliopsida; Ranunculales; Papaveraceae. The record is from RefSeq and is a predicted model, not a curated record.